Molecule: long non-coding RNA, 606 nt
Filed under: Trifolium pratense (red clover)
Lineage: Eukaryota; Viridiplantae; Streptophyta; Magnoliopsida; Fabales; Fabaceae
Description: long non-coding RNA (TPRA_LNC010297)
Source: RNAcentral
UGUUACACCUUUAUAUUAUUAUGUUUAUGAAAUCAUGUUAUGAAAUUAUGUUAGAGACUGACAAUUAGGAUCAAGGAACUAUUAGUUCAUCAGUUGCCCCCGGUGUAGACACCAAUAGUAACUGGGUAGUAGGAAUCCACUGAGACGAAGUGACUGUUCUCAUCCCCCACUGAUUUGAUUUCAGAUAAGCAGGUUGUUCGAGGAUCGAGGCCUUGAGGCAUGAAGAUUCGGAUACGUGGAUUAUGUUAUGAAGCUGACGUUAUGUUAACCUUAUAUUUGUAUAAGAUUCGGUUCAUUUAUGUUCAGUUGUUAGCUCGAUCAUGUAUUCAUUUGUUGGAUUUUGUAAUCCUAUUCACGUAUUUGGUCUUUGUGUAAAUGAAAUUAAUGUUUCUCGAUUCAGUUAUGUUCACUCUUGCGCUAUUCUAGAUAAAUCGACAAGGGGUGUUAUAGCUCGCACUUCGGAGGCUUAAGCAUUGUUUGUAUUACGGAGAAUGUCGCAUUCUCGUAUUUAAAUGUCGCAUUCUCACACUUCGGAGGCUUAAGAAAUCGAGAAAUACGGUGAAAAGAUUGGAUUUUAAAGAAAAAAUCUUGAAUUGGGUUUUAAUU